This 501-nucleotide ribosomal RNA is filed under the name uncultured bacterium. RNAcentral describes it as "partial 16S ribosomal RNA". It matches the Rfam family "Bacterial small subunit ribosomal RNA", at positions 30 to 523 of the family's 1533-position model. The record is from RNAcentral.
AUUGAACGCUGGCGGCAGGCUUAACACAUGCAAGUCGAGCGGAGAUGAGGUGCUUGCACCUUAUCUUAGCGGCGGACGGGUGAGUAAUGCUUAGGAAUCUGCCUAUUAGUGGGGGACAACAUUCCGAAAGGAAUGCUAAUACCGCAUACGUCCUACGGGAGAAAGCAGGGGAUCUUCGGACCUUGCGCUAAUAGAUGAGCCUAAGUCGGAUUAGCUAGUUGGUGGGGUAAAGGCCUACCAAGGCGAAGAUCUGUAGCGGGGAUGAGAGGAUGAGACGGCACACUGGGACUGAGACACGGUCCAGACUCCUACGGGAGGCAGCAGUGGGGAAUAUUGGACAAUGGGGGAAACCCUGAUCCAGCCAUGCCGCGUGUGUGAAGAAGGCCUUAUGGUUGUAAAGCACUUUAAGCGAGGAGGAGGCUACUGAGACUAAUACUCUUGGAUAGUGGACGUUACUCGCAGAAUAAGCACCGGCUAACUCUGUGCCAGCAGCCGCAGUAA